UCUUAAAAGUUUCUUCCAUUUGUACCCUUAAAAACUGGCAUGACUGAAAGAAUAAUUAAACAGUGAUACGUAGCAUGCUAUUGUACCUCAUGCUGAUGUAUAGAGUAGUUUUGAAUUGCAAAAAUGGAUGAAAUUUUGACA
This 141-nucleotide microRNA precursor is filed under the name Gossypium hirsutum (cotton). Its description in RNAcentral is "MIR7502 microRNA precursor family". It matches the Rfam family "MIR7502 microRNA precursor family". Lineage: Eukaryota; Viridiplantae; Streptophyta; Magnoliopsida; Malvales; Malvaceae. RNAcentral also lists the same sequence under 1 other name. The record is from Rfam by way of RNAcentral.